This 548-nucleotide ribosomal RNA is filed under the name uncultured bacterium. RNAcentral describes it as "bacterial SSU rRNA". It matches the Rfam family "Bacterial small subunit ribosomal RNA", at positions 355 to 896 of the family's 1533-position model. The record is from RNAcentral.
UGGGGAAUUUUGGACAAUGGGCGCAAGCCUGNUCCAGCCAUGCCGCGUGCAGGAUGAAGGCCUUCGGGUUGUAAACUGCUUUUGUACGGAACGAAAAGACUCCUUCUAAUAAAGGGGGUCCAUGACGGUACCGUAAGAAUAAGCACCGGCUAACUACGUGCCAGCAGCCGCGGUAAUACGUAGGGUGCGAGCGUUAAUCGGAAUUACUGGGCGUAAAGCGUGCGCAGGCGGUUAGAUAAGCCAGAUGUGAAAUCCCCGAGCUCAACUUGGGAACUGCGUUUGGAACUGUCAGACUAGAGUGCGUCAGAGGGGGGUGGAAUUCCGCGUGUAGCAGUGAAAUGCGUAGAGAUGCGGAGGAACACCGAUGGCGAAGGCAGCCCCCUGGGAUGACACUGACGCUCAUGCACGAAAGCGUGGGGAGCAAACAGGAUUAGAUACCCUGGUAGUCCACGCCCUAAACGAUGUCAAUUAGCUGUUGGGGGUUAGAAUCCCUGGUAGCGUAGCUAACGCGUGAAAUUGACCGCCUGGGGAGUACGGCCGCAAGGUUA